AGUCGAACGAGCGAGAGAGAGUUUACUUUUUCGAGCGAGUGGCGAACGGGUGAGUAACGCGUGAGGAACCUGCCUCAAAGAGGGGGACAACAGUUGGAAACGACUGCUAAUACCGCAUAAGCCCACGGCUCGGCAUCGAGCAGAGGGAAAAGGAGCAAUCCGCUUUGAGAUGGCCUCGCGUCCGAUUAGCUAGUUGGUGAGGUAACGGCCCACCAAGGCAACGAUCGGUAGCCGGACUGAGAGGUUGAACGGCCACAUUGGGACUGAGACACGGCCCAGACUCCUACGGGAGGCAGCAGUGGGGAAUAUUGCACAAUGGGGGAAACCCUGAUGCAGCGACGCCGCGUGGAGGAAGAAGGUCUUCGGAUUGUAAACUCCUGUUGUUGAAGAAGAUAAUGACGGUACUCAACAAGGAAGUGACGGCUAACUACCUGCCAGCAGCCGCGGUAAAACGUAGGUCACAAGCGUUGUCCGGAAUUACUGGGUGUAAAGGGAGCGCAGGCGGGAAGACAAGUUGGAAGUGAAAUCCAUGGGCUCAACCCAUGAACUGCUUUCAAAACUGUUUUUCUUGAGUAGUGCAGAGGUAGGCGGAAUUCCCGGUGUAGCGGUGGAAUGCGUAGAUAUCGGGAGGAACACCAGUGGCGAAGGCGGCCUACUGGG
This 660-nucleotide ribosomal RNA is filed under the name uncultured bacterium. Its description in RNAcentral is "bacterial SSU rRNA". It matches the Rfam family "Bacterial small subunit ribosomal RNA", at positions 60 to 733 of the family's 1533-position model. The record is from RNAcentral.